Molecule: ribosomal RNA, 399 nt
Filed under: uncultured bacterium
Lineage: Bacteria
Description: bacterial SSU rRNA
Rfam family: Bacterial small subunit ribosomal RNA
Source: RNAcentral
GGGGAAUAUUGCACAAUGGAGGAAACUCUGAUGCAGCGACGCCGCGUGAGGGAAGAAGGUCUUCGGAUUGUAAACCUCUGUCCCUGGUGACGAUAAUGACGGUAGCCAGGGAGGAAGCCACGGCUAACUACGUGCCAGCAGCCGCGGUAAUACGUAGGUGGCAAGCGUUGUCCGGAAUUACUGGGUGUAAAGGGAGCGUAGGCGGGUGCGCAAGUUGAAUGUCAAAUCUACCGGCUUAACUGGUAGCCGCGUUCAAAACUGCGUAUCUUGAGUGAAGUAGAGGCAGGCGGAAUUCCUAGUGUAGCGGUGAAAUGCGUAAAUAUUAGGAGGAACACCAGUGGCGAAGGCGGCCUGCUGGGCUUUAACUGACGCUGAGGCUCGAAAGCGUGGGGAGCAAAC